CUAUGCGCCUUGCCACGCCCGCCUCAGAAACUUAAAGGAAGUUGACGGGGGCCCGCACAAGCGGUGGAGCAUGUGGUUUAAUUCGAUGAUACGCGAGGAACCUUACCUGGGCUCAAAUGUAUGUUGACGUAUUCUGAAAGGGAUACUUCUUCGGACAAUAUACAAGGUGCUGCAUGGUUGUCGUCAGCUCGUGCCGUGAGGUGUUGGGUUAAGUCCCGCAACGAGCGCAACCCUUGCCUUUAGUUGCCAGCAGUUCGGCUGGGCACUCUAAAGGGACUGCCGGUGUUAAACCGGAGGAAGGUGGGGAUGACGUCAAGUCCUCAUGGCCUUUAUGACCAGGGCUACACACGUACUACAAUGGCCGAUACAAAGGGCAGCGACACUGCGAGGUGAAGCCAAUCCCGUAAAAUCGGUCUCAGUCCGGAUUGGAGUCUGCAACUCGACUCCAUGAAGUUGGAAUCGCUAGUAAUCGUGGAUCAGCAUGCCACGGUGAAUACGUUCCCGGGCCUU
This 510-nucleotide ribosomal RNA is filed under the name uncultured Desulfobulbus sp. Its description in RNAcentral is "bacterial SSU rRNA". It matches the Rfam family "Bacterial small subunit ribosomal RNA", at positions 903 to 1382 of the family's 1533-position model. The record is from RNAcentral. Lineage: Bacteria; Pseudomonadati; Thermodesulfobacteriota; Desulfobulbia; Desulfobulbales; Desulfobulbaceae.